Molecule: small RNA, 537 nt
Filed under: Pan troglodytes (chimpanzee)
Lineage: Eukaryota; Metazoa; Chordata; Mammalia; Primates; Hominidae
Description: retained intron
Source: RNAcentral
AAAAAAACACAGGAGCUUCUUCAGGAGGAGACACGCCAGAAACUAAACCUGAGCAGUCGGAUCCGGCAGCUGGAAGAGGAGAAGAACAGUCUUCAGGAGCAGCAGGAGGAGGAGGAGGAGGCCAGGAAGAACCUGGAGAAGCAAGUGCUGGCCCUGCAGUCCCAGUUGGCUGAUACCAAGAAGAAAGUAGAUGACGACCUGGGAACAAUUGAAAGUCUGGAAGAAGCCAAGAAGAAGCUUCUGAAGGAUGCGGAGGCCCUGAGCCAGCGCCUGGAGGAGAAGGCACUGGCGUAUGACAAACUGGAGAAGACCAAGAACCGCCUGCAGCAGGAGCUGGACGACCUCACGGUGGACCUGGACCACCAGCGCCAGGUCGCCUCCAACUUGGAGAAGAAGCAGAAGAAGUUUGACCAGGUGGGUCGGCCACGUGUCGUUUCCUCCUGGCAGAGCUCUUGCUUUUGUUUGUUUGGUUUAAAAUAAUCUUAUUUAAAGGCAUUUAAAUGUGAUACAUGUUUAUAUCAAAAUUGGAAAAAGGGA